GAUGAACGCUGGCGGUAUGCUUAACACAUGCAAGUCGAACGGUACCUUCGGGUAUAGUGGCGGACGGGUGAGUAACGCGUGAGAAUCUAUCUUCAGGUCGGGGACAACAGUUAGAAAUGACUGCUAAUACCGGAUGUGCCGAAAGGUAAAAGAUUUAUUGCCUGAAAAAGAGCUCGCGUCAGAUUAGCUAGUAGGUGGUGUAAGAGACUACCUAGGCUUCGAUCUGUAGCUGGUCUGAGAGGACGAUCAGCCACACUGGAACUGAGACACGGUCCAGGCUCCUACGGGAGGCAGCAGUGGGGAAUUUUCCGCAAUGGGCGAAAGCCUGACGGAGCAAUACCGCGUGAGGGACGAAGGCUCUUGGGUCGUAAACCUCUUUUCUCAAGGAAGAUUCAGACGGUACUUGAGGAAUAAGCAUCGGCUAACUCUGUG
This 432-nucleotide ribosomal RNA is filed under the name uncultured bacterium. Its description in RNAcentral is "partial 16S ribosomal RNA". It matches the Rfam family "Bacterial small subunit ribosomal RNA", at positions 28 to 507 of the family's 1533-position model. The record is from RNAcentral.